This 253-nucleotide ribosomal RNA is filed under the name uncultured bacterium. RNAcentral describes it as "partial 16S ribosomal RNA". It matches the Rfam family "Bacterial small subunit ribosomal RNA", at positions 524 to 776 of the family's 1533-position model. The record is from RNAcentral.
UACGGAGGGUGCGAGCGUUGUCCGGAAUCACUGGGCGUAAAGGGCGCGUAGGUGGCGCGGGAAGUCAACGGUGAAAGUUCGGGGCUCAACCCUGAAUCGGCCGUCGAUACUCCCGGGCUCGAGCACUGUAGAGGCUCAUGGAAUUCCGGGUGUAGCGGUGGAAUGCGUAGAGAUCCGGAAGAACACCGGUGGCGAAGGCGGUGAGCUGGGCAGUUGCUGACACUGAGGCGCGACAGCGUGGGGAGCAAACAGG